RNA transcript from Halichondria panicea, 5387 nucleotides. It is a transcript of the gene named piggyBac transposable element-derived protein 3-like, with no coding region annotated. The record is from RefSeq and is a predicted model, not a curated record. The transcript is spliced from 3 exons. Lineage: Eukaryota; Metazoa; Porifera; Demospongiae; Suberitida; Halichondriidae.
CUGAACAACCGUAGAAGUAGGGCUACCCCUGGCUUUACUGAAUUAACUAGCUGUGUCUGCUGUCUAGUUGGACCAGAUUUAGCUAGAUAAUGGGGUAGAGAAUAGUUGAGCGGUGCUGUGUGUAGCUUGAACUGUACUGGCUGGCAAGAAUCUAGUAAGCACCCUAUGCACUGAUAACUCGUCAGAAUGGAGGGUAUGUUCUAGGGAUCUGGACAGCUGUACAUCCAAAGGAGCCAGGGAGUGCCAAUCAUCUUCUCCCAGUCUCUGACACGCUAAACAAAAGGAGCUAGAACUGGGAGUCCCAGCUAGAAUUGCUAGCCGGAUCUAGACUAAUAGAAUGACUUGGAGGCGUGGUGAGGCCGGAUCCACACUAAUUGAUCGACCUAAAGACGCUCCUGUUCCAGAUUUCACGAAUGGCAAGGAAAGGGUUAUUUUUCAAAACUUUUGAAUCCAAAUGGAGCUGAUUGGACUCCUUGACACUGUCAGCGAGCUUGAGCACACUGUCAGAGAGCUUGAGGAGGACCAGGAAGUCUGUUAUGACCAUGACGAGCCCAGUGAUGACGAUUUUGAGACAGAUCUGGAGAGUGAUUCAGAUGCUGCAGUGGAGGAUGAUGACGAAAUGGUCGAUGGCAUGGCUCCGACUCCCAAACGGAGGAAGCUGGCGAGGGACAAUGGACUCCAAAAAGCUAAGUCCACAGGAAGAUACCCCGUCUUUGGCGGUGUGGUCGGUCCUGUCGAUCAACUUGAUCCGUCUGUAACUCCAUGCCUAGAUUUUGUUAAGUUACUUUGGCCCGAUAGUUUGUGUGAGUACAUAGCCGAACAGACCAACCUGUACGCUAGGCAGUGUGGUGCUAAGGGUUGGUCAGCUACAAACAGUGCCGAAUUGUGGGUGUUUUUGGGGAUUGUACUAGAGAUGGGCAUUCAUAGGCUCCCUGAAAUUACGGACUACUGGUCCAAGGAUCCCCUUUUAGGUGUACAAUGUGUGAGCAAUGUAAUGUCGCUCAAAAGGUUCCAAAGUUUAUGGCGGUAUCUGCACUGUGAGGACAAUACGUCCAUCACUGAUGCACGUAAGGUAACUAGCAAGCUAAAAACUGUUUUAGAGACUCUUAAAGCCAACUACUUCAUGAGGUAUAAUCCCAGUCAGGAGCUUUCCGUUGAUGAGAUGAUGAUAAAGUACAAGGGUCGUAAAAGCGGGAAAAUUCAUAUGCCCAAGAAGCCUGUUAAACUGGGGUUCAAGGUAUGGUGCUGCUCAUGUUCAUGCUGUGGGUAUCUCUGUGUGUUUGAUGUAUACAGUGGUAAGCUCACCGAUUCCUCUGGGAAAAAGAUAGCUGUGAAAGGGCUUGUGAAAAAUGUAGUCCAUCGUUUACUCACUCCUUUUUAUGGUCAUCAGCAUGUUGUGUACAUGGACAACUUUUACACGUCCGGUCCAUUGAUAGAAGAGUUGGCUAAGCAAAAUGUGUUUACUGUCGGCACAAUUUUGAAGAAUGCUGCUGGUUUCCCAGCAAGUCUUAAGGAUGUGGUACUCGACAAAGGUGACUAUACGUCCAUGACUGUUGGUGAUAUUUCUUACUCUAUGUUUAACGACCGUAGAGUUGUGUCCUUUGCAACAAAUGUGUUCCCUGACCAUAUGCCCCACACUGUAAUGCGAAUGCACAAAGACGGUACCCUACGCUCUCAGAGUGUCCCCCCUGUCUCCCUGCAUAUAACAUGUACAUGGGAGGAGUUGACAAUACAGGGCGUAUGAGGAAAACCUAUGGGUACGAUAGAAAGUGUCGGCGGUAUUGGUUCAGGAUUUUCUUUCAAUUCCUUGACGUUAGUGUGAAUAAUGCAUACAUUCUAUACAGGCACAACUGUGUCAGGGUGGGUUCAAAGGCCAUGCCUUUGAAAGGGUUUCGAUUGGAACUAAUUCAUAGUCUAUUGGGUGUGCCACGUACUCGUAGCAGUGCCUCAGGUCUGGCCAGUCUAAAUAUCGUUUUCCCCCCAUCACAGGGCGCACGUGUGAGUGCAAAUAGUGUCGGAGUGUCUCGUGGGCGCUGUCAAGUGUGUGUUCGGGAGAAGAUCCCUAGCAGAGAGCAGCAACACACUGCAAUGGCAUGUCCCCACUGUCGCAUAAGAAUAUGCAAAGGACACUCUGUUAUCGGACACACAUGUGCUAGCUAAUGUGCUGUGUGACUGAUUUUUGUUAGAUGGUACUCUCCUGGUCUAAAUUGGCCUUGGAGAGGGGAGGAAAGGGGUAUUAUUUCAAUGAUUAAUAAAAUUGUGAUAAAGAAUUCAGUUGUAUAUGAUAGGCCCUAACCCACUCUGUUGUAAAUUCUGUUGUAAUUAUCUCUUUCCUUGGCAAUCUGUUGUAGAAAUUACAACAAUGGGUAAGGAAUCGUUAUGAUGAAUUAGAUGAAGUUGUAUGUGAGCUCCUCCCUGACAAACAAACUGUAGUCUAGGUAACCGCCUUAUCAGUCAAGUAGGCUAAAAAUCUGUGUCCUUUGAUGUAAGCUUUGAUGUCUCUUUGUGCAUAUGUAGUUAUAAAAAAAAAAAAAAAAAAAAAAGAAACCUUUGACUAGCUAGGAAGAGUAGCAGCAGUAGGCAGCAGUAGUAGUAGCAGUGCAAGCAGGACUAGACUAGAUUAAAAAGUUGGUGGAAAGAAUAACUGACCGUUUGGACGUCACCUGGCUGCCAGACUUUCAUCUGGACUCUUCCCCCUGAGUAGCUGGCCUUUCUCUAAGCCACAAAACUGAGCAAGAAGCUGAAGAAGCAGCUAGACAGAGACAUGUACCUAGCCUUGAGAAUUGGGAGGCGUGGCUCAACUAGUUAGCCCAGCCCAGAGGAAUUGUUACCGUGGGUACUGAACAACCGUAGAAGUAGGGCUACCCCUGGCUUUACUGAAUUAACUAGCUGUGUCUGCUGUCUAGUUGGACCAGAUUUAGCUAGAUAAUGGGGUAGAGAAUAGUUGAGCGGUGCUGUGUGUAGCUUGAACUGUACUGGCUGGCAAGAAUCUAGUAAGCACCCUAUGCACUGAUAACUCGUCAGAAUGGAGGGUAUGUUCUAGGGAUCUGGACAGCUGUACAUCCAAAGGAGCCAGGGAGUGCCAAUCAUCUUCUCCCAGUCUCUGACACGCUAAACAAAAGGAGCUAGAACUGGGAGUCCCAGCUAGAAUUGCUAGCCGGAUCUAGACUAAUAGAAUGACUUGGAGGCGUGGUGAGGCCGGAUCCACACUAAUUGAUCGACCUAAAGACGCUCCUGUUCCAGAUUUCACGAAUGGCAAGGAAAGGGUUAUUUUUCAAAACUUUUGAAUCCAAAUGGAGCUGAUUGGACUCCUUGACACUGUCAGCGAGCUUGAGCACACUGUCAGAGAGCUUGAGGAGGACCAGGAAGUCUGUUAUGACCAUGACGAGCCCAGUGAUGACGAUUUUGAGACAGAUCUGGAGAGUGAUUCAGAUGCUGCAGUGGAGGAUGAUGACGAAAUGGUCGAUGGCAUGGCUCCGACUCCCAAACGGAGGAAGCUGGCGAGGGACAAUGGACUCCAAAAAGCUAAGUCCACAGGAAGAUACCCCGUCUUUGGCGGUGUGGUCGGUCCUGUCGAUCAACUUGAUCCGUCUGUAACUCCAUGCCUAGAUUUUGUUAAGUUACUUUGGCCCGAUAGUUUGUGUGAGUACAUAGCCGAACAGACCAACCUGUACGCUAGGCAGUGUGGUGCUAAGGGUUGGUCAGCUACAAACAGUGCCGAAUUGUGGGUGUUUUUGGGGAUUGUACUAGAGAUGGGCAUUCAUAGGCUCCCUGAAAUUACGGACUACUGGUCCAAGGAUCCCCUUUUAGGUGUACAAUGUGUGAGCAAUGUAAUGUCGCUCAAAAGGUUCCAAAGUUUAUGGCGGUAUCUGCACUGUGAGGACAAUACGUCCAUCACUGAUGCACGUAAGGUAACUAGCAAGCUAAAAACUGUUUUAGAGACUCUUAAAGCCAACUACUUCAUGAGGUAUAAUCCCAGUCAGGAGCUUUCCGUUGAUGAGAUGAUGAUAAAGUACAAGGGUCGUAAAAGCGGGAAAAUUCAUAUGCCCAAGAAGCCUGUUAAACUGGGGUUCAAGGUAUGGUGCUGCUCAUGUUCAUGCUGUGGGUAUCUCUGUGUGUUUGAUGUAUACAGUGGUAAGCUCACCGAUUCCUCUGGGAAAAAGAUAGCUGUGAAAGGGCUUGUGAAAAAUGUAGUCCAUCGUUUACUCACUCCUUUUUAUGGUCAUCAGCAUGUUGUGUACAUGGACAACUUUUACACGUCCGGUCCAUUGAUAGAAGAGUUGGCUAAGCAAAAUGUGUUUACUGUCGGCACAAUUUUGAAGAAUGCUGCUGGUUUCCCAGCAAGUCUUAAGGAUGUGGUACUCGACAAAGGUGACUAUACGUCCAUGACUGUUGGUGAUAUUUCUUACUCUAUGUUUAACGACCGUAGAGUUGUGUCCUUUGCAACAAAUGUGUUCCCUGACCAUAUGCCCCACACUGUAAUGCGAAUGCACAAAGACGGUACCCUACGCUCUCAGAGUGUCCCCCCUGUCUCCCUGCAUAUAACAUGUACAUGGGAGGAGUUGACAAUACAGGGCGUAUGAGGAAAACCUAUGGGUACGAUAGAAAGUGUCGGCGGUAUUGGUUCAGGAUUUUCUUUCAAUUCCUUGACGUUAGUGUGAAUAAUGCAUACAUUCUAUACAGGCACAACUGUGUCAGGGUGGGUUCAAAGGCCAUGCCUUUGAAAGGGUUUCGAUUGGAACUAAUUCAUAGUCUAUUGGGUGUGCCACGUACUCGUAGCAGUGCCUCAGGUCUGGCCAGUCUAAAUAUCGUUUUCCCCCCAUCACAGGGCGCACGUGUGAGUGCAAAUAGUGUCGGAGUGUCUCGUGGGCGCUGUCAAGUGUGUGUUCGGGAGAAGAUCCCUAGCAGAGAGCAGCAACACACUGCAAUGGCAUGUCCCCACUGUCGCAUAAGAAUAUGCAAAGGACACUCUGUUAUCGGACACACAUGUGCUAGCUAAUGUGCUGUGUGACUGAUUUUUGUUAGAUGGUACUCUCCUGGUCUAAAUUGGCCUUGGAGAGGGGAGGAAAGGGGUAUUAUUUCAAUGAUUAAUAAAAUUGUGAUAAAGAAUUCAGUUGUAUAUGAGAGGCCCUAACCCACUCUGUUGUAAAUUCUGUUGUAAUUAUCUCUUUCCUUGGCAAUCUGUUGUAGAAAUUACAACAAUGGGUAAGGAAUCGUUAUGAUGAAUUAGAUGAAGUUGUAUGUGAGCUCCUCCCUGACAAACAAACUGUAGUCUAGGUAACCGCCUUAUCAGUCAAGUAGGCUAAAAAUCUGUGUCCUUUGAUGUAAGCUUUGAUGUCUCUUUGUGCAUAUGUAGUUAUAAAAAAAAAAAAAAAAAAAAAAGAAAC